GCGAGGCCGCCUGCAGCCACGGUGAGGGGCACGUGGAGACGACAGCGCCCAGGUGGAGCCGGCUGGGCCCGAGAGGAGAGGCGGGAAGGCGACGCCCCGAAGGUGGAGCGCGUGGAGCCGAAAUGAUGGUGCUGGGAUCGGACACAGGCGAUGGCAUCGUGGAGAGCUGGUUUACUGAACCCAAACGUGCCAAGGCGUCAUUAAGAGACCGGGGCAGCAAGAAAGUCAGCGGGAAGAG
Long non-coding RNA from Lethenteron reissneri (Far Eastern brook lamprey), 238 nucleotides. RefSeq lists it as uncharacterized. Lineage: Eukaryota; Metazoa; Chordata; Hyperoartia; Petromyzontiformes; Petromyzontidae. The record is from RefSeq and is a predicted model, not a curated record.